This is a long non-coding RNA of Oreochromis niloticus (Nile tilapia), 207 nucleotides long. RefSeq lists it as uncharacterized. The transcript is spliced from 3 exons. Lineage: Eukaryota; Metazoa; Chordata; Actinopteri; Cichliformes; Cichlidae. The record is from RefSeq and is a predicted model, not a curated record.
AGCUGAACAAGAAGAAGCUGCAAAUGAUAAUUUCACAGAUGACAUCACAUAUAGUGACAUCAAAUCAUCACAUCAUCAGCAAAGGGCAAUCAAACACCUCAGAGACAUUGAUCCAGCUGUGGUGUACUCAGCAGUGAGAACUGAAGAUGUCACUUAUGGACAAAUAGCCAUCAAACCAAAGAAGAUAAGAGACUUUAAACCAGAGCC